UACGUAGGGGGCAAGCGUUGUCCGGAAUUAUUGGGCGUAAAGCGCGCGCAGGCGGUCAAUUAAGUCUGGUGUUUAAGGCUGUGGCUCAACCACAGUUCGCACUGGAAACUGGUUGACUUGAGUGCAGAAGAGGAAAGUGGAAUUCCACGUGUAGCGGUGAAAUGCGUAGAGAUGUGGAGGAACACCAGUGGCGAAGGCGACUUUCUGGGCUGUAACUGACGCUGAGGCGCGAAAGCGUGGGGAGCAAACAGG
This 252-nucleotide unclassified non-coding RNA is filed under the name uncultured Paenibacillaceae bacterium. RNAcentral describes it as "contains 16S-23S intergenic spacer region". It matches the Rfam family "Bacterial small subunit ribosomal RNA", at positions 524 to 776 of the family's 1533-position model. The record is from RNAcentral. Lineage: Bacteria; Bacillati; Bacillota; Bacilli; Caryophanales; Paenibacillaceae.